Molecule: ribosomal RNA, 455 nt
Filed under: uncultured bacterium
Lineage: Bacteria
Description: bacterial SSU rRNA
Rfam family: Bacterial small subunit ribosomal RNA
Source: RNAcentral
UACGGAAGGCAGCAGUGGGGAAUAUUGCACAAUGGGCGCAAGCCUGAUGCAGCCAUGCCGCGUGUAUGAAGAAGGCCUUCGGGUUGUAAAGUACUUUCAGUCGUGAGGAAGGUGUUAAGGUUAAUAACCUUAGCAAUUGACGUUAGCGACAGAAGAAGCACCGGCUAACUCCGUGCCAGCAGCCGCGGUAAUACGGAGGGUGCGAGCGUUAAUCGGAAUUACUGGGCGUAAAGGGCACGCAGGCGGUUAAUUAAGUUGGAUGUGAAAUCCCCGGGCUUAACCUGGGAAUGGCAUUCAAGACUGGUUAGCUAGAGUCUUGUAGAGGGGGUAGAAUUCCAUGUGUAGCGGUGAAAUGCGUAGAGAUGUGGAGGAAUACCGGUGGCGAAGGCGGCCCCUGGGACAAAGGCUGACGCUCAUGUGCGAAAGCGUGGGGAGCGAAACAGGGAUUAGAUACC